Cavia porcellus (domestic guinea pig) is the source of this 7837-nucleotide RNA transcript. It is a transcript of the gene named cuticle collagen bli-1, with no coding region annotated. The record is from RefSeq and is a predicted model, not a curated record. Lineage: Eukaryota; Metazoa; Chordata; Mammalia; Rodentia; Caviidae. The transcript is spliced from 3 exons.
ACUCUUCCUGGCUUCCUAGUCCUCUCCAUAGCCCUUUCCCAUUUACCCCAGAGAUUCACGUCUCCACCUUCUCACAGUUACACAAAUAAAACCCCAAGAGCACAACCCCAGGGGGAUGCUGUGGACGCGCAUGUGUACACACACACACACACACACACACACACACAGCGCUUACCGAUGCCCAGCUACACAGCUACACAGACGCCUGGAGACGCCGCUCCCCAGCUUCACCCCUUCUGCUCCUCCAGCUCGUAGAGAAAAUGAAGACCAGAAGGAGUUGUCUGUUCCAAGUGAACCAAGUGUCUACCAAGGUCACGGGGAAGCUCUCUCCGGAGUGGGUCAGCCAGACCAAAAUUGUGAGCAGAGGUGUUGCCUCCCCGCUGUGAUGGAAGAUGAGCUGCACUGGGAGCCAGAAAACCACAGUGUGACUGAUGGAAUAAAAUAAGACAUCAAGAAUAAAAGAAAAUUUAGAAAAUAUUCAAAUACAUGAAAAUUGAACAACAUGAAACAGACUCGUGGACCCAGCACGAAAAGCUGAGUUGCUUUUGGAGACCGCGGGAAACUGAGACCCAGAUCGAGACUCCAAGUAGCAGCCAGUUCUGCACCGCUGCACCAGAGCGGAUGUACAAAGCUCUGGCGAUUCAAAUCUAAACGGUGCACAGAAAUCUGACCGGUCAGCGCUGAGCCGCGAGUGGGGGAAUAGUGGACAGCUUGGUGUGCGGCGGUCCCGGAACGAGGACUUGCACCGGACUCUGGUGAGUACAAAAAACCCCGCGGCUGCUGGGUUUGGCCAGAGAACAGCUGGCCCGCCACCACGGGGAAAUCAAUAACACAGAGUCUGGUGCAGACAUAUUAGCCCGGCGGCAGAAAUCGCAGCUUGGUGACAUCACCAGGUCCCCCUGUAGGGAGGGCUGGUGGAAGACAUCUUGAGUCCUGGCAGAGCCUGAUUACUUGUUGGCUUCAGCUCCACACAGAGAACUUAGUGGGAGCCAUCUUUGUUUUGGGCAGAUCUGCUUUUCUGGUGCACCUAUCACAGAGAGGUUUGGAAGAGAACGGCUGGGACCUGGGCAGAAUCCUGUGCCAUUACUCAGCUGCUUCUGAUUCAAAGAGAACUGGCAGGAGCUACUAGGGCUAAACCAAGCCUCUGCUUGGGGCCCAAUAAGCAGAUACAAAAUAGUCACAACUCAGUGACAACCAGAAAGUACAGCCUAAUUUAUGAACUAACUGACACAGAGGCUAGAGACUAGACUGUACCGCCCCUACAUCCCAGCCUACCCCAGAUAACAGCAAAUUGGGGAGGACAGCAAAAACUCAAGCCAGCACGCUUCUGAAAGGCCCUAAGCAAUUCGGAGAGGGCCAGAGAACUCCAGGACAGUCUGAAAGAAACCAGAAACAUGACAAGAGAUAAAAAUAAAAAAAAAAACCUCCAGCUGUUCAACAGGAGAAAUUAAACCCAAGAGAACUAAACACUGAAGAGAACAAGCACAGUAACCAUCCUCUACUCGACACAGCAUCAGCCGAAAUUAAAAAGUACUUACAUGAUCUCAUAGAGGAAUUUAAAGAUGUACUCCUGAUCCAAGUGAGGCAAGAUAUAAAGAGAUUAAUUAAAGAAAUGACAAGCCCCGCCCAAGAGAACACAGAUGGAAGAACUGAGGAAAUCAGAAAAGAAAGAGAAGCAUCUGAAGAAGAAUUUAAGCAUAACUUAGAAUACAUGAAACAGAUCCAAAGAGAAUAUCAGGAAACUCAGAACUCCAUUGAAUAUUGGCAAAAUGCCUUGACAGAAACUAAAGACAACCUUCUGAAACUUGAAGAGAGAUUUAGGGCUUAUGAACGUGAAAGAAAAAUCCUCUUAAAAAUAACAAGGAACCAGAAAGAAGCAAUUCUAAAACUGGAAGAUGAUAAAAAGAUACAUAACCUAAGAAUAAAGAAUGUGAGUGAGGAAGCAGGAACAUCCAAAAAUGAAAUACAAAAAAUAUUCACAGAGAUAUUAAAGCAAAAUUUCCCACGUAUAGCAAAAAGAAAUGAUAUCCAGAUAAAAGAAGCAUACAGAACGCCAGCUACCUACAACCAAAACAGAUCUACGCCUAGGCAUAUAAUAAUCGAGAUCCCAGAAAUCCACCAAAAAAACAGAAUAUUAAAAGCAGCCAGAGAAAGGAUGCAGGUUACCUAUAAUGGGAAAUCUAUCAAAAUAACAGCAGACUUAUCAACACAAACUCUUAAGUCAAGAAGGGAGUGGGGAGAAAUAUUCCAAGUCCUGAAGGAAAAAAAUAUGCAACCUAAGUUCAUAUAUCCGUCAAAACUCUCUCUAAAAAUUAAUGAAGAAAUAAGAUACUUUCAAGACAAGGAGGAACUGUGGGGGUUCGUGGCCACCAAUCCAACCCUACAGAGAGCGCUGAAGGACAUUACAGAGAAAGAGAGGAAGCGAUAUCAGGAUUACAGCUACAGUGGCAGAGAAGCCUCAGUGAACGGGGCAGACCAUGGAAUGAGGGAAUAAGGUGGACAAAUUAUAGCAGAAAAGUGGAGUAGCAGACAUGAGGCAGAGACGGUAAGCUAGUCUUUAGUAGAGACAGCUCUGAAACUAUAUUUAAAAAAAAAAAGCAGAGGUCAUUGCUAAUGGUGUAUAACGAUUUAAAAGACACAGUAGUCCUAGUGACAUAUUUAGAUUGAAUUAAAUUUGUUCUGGUCUGUCCACUCAUAUCAGAUUUGAGGACACAGACCUCUAGAACCAAAAAUAGCAGGUUAUACCAUGGCAACUAUCCUUACUUUCCUAUUGACUUAGGCUGAAAUUCUGUAUUACUUACAUUGUCUUACUAUGACUGAUCUUAAUUGUAUCUGAAUCAUAAAACUAUUGGUUGGCCUUGACUGAUCCUAUUUGAAAUCGGUAUGCGUGUUAGAAUCAACCCUAAAAGUAGAGGAAACUACUCUGAGCAUGACAAGAUGUAAAGGAUAUCCAUACUGGUAUGAAUCAGUAACAGCUCUCAAAUACUACAAUGCAGUCAAAGAUAAGUUUUUAUAAAAAUAGGUGAUAGUAUGUUUAACUAUAAUAAGCCAGUGUUGUCGACAAAUCUAUUGAAAAUAACAAGAGAAAACAUAGUAGCUACGGAAGAUCAUUUAUAUUAUAGUUUUAUAAGUCCUAUCCAUUGCAUGUUUAUCUAGGAAAUUGUUUCGUUGUCUUGUUAUGACUUGGUUUUCCCUAUAAUACAGAGAGGAUAGGAACAAAUACUCUGAGGAAGAGACCUGAAAAACCCGAGGCUUAUUUUGUAGCAUUAUAAUAUAAAUUCUAGCAAUCUAUUGCUUGCUGAUUAAAAUGACUCUGGACUGGUUUCUUCAGCUCAACUUCAGCAUAUGCAGAGAUGGGGACGGCUAUCACAAAGAGAAUGAGAGAUGUGAUGGUAGUUGGUAUUGUCUUCCCUAAUUUGGAACUUGAGGACCUAAAAAGACUCCAUCAUCCUGUAAUGAUUUGAUUAGUUCUAUAAUAUGCAAUAAGUAUAGAAAGUGGGUGAAGUUAGGGACAACUAUUUGUAAGAAGCUAGAGACAGUUAGAUAAGGUAGAUCCCCAGUGGACUUGCUUUGAAAUCUGUAUUUCUUUAAAUUGUUUUUUAUUUUUUUUAAAAUGUUCUGUUCUGUUUUGAUAUGGUUAACCUUAUCCUCUUAGAGAUGUAAAACAAAUAGGUGGGACUGAUAAUCAUAUUACCGAGCUUUUGUUCGGCCAUAGAGCAGAAUGGUUUGUAGGGUCAUUUUUUUUUUUUUGAAUGUCAUUCUAUAUACUUUAAUUCUAUAACCUGAACAGCCAUUUCGAAGAUGACAAUUUGUAACUUAUCAACUGGCAAUUUCUUACCUUUUGUUUGUCUGUAAUUUAGAAUUAUUUCUACCCUUUUUUUUAAAUCUCCAUGUAUUUUUUUUCGUUUCCUUUUCUUUAAAUAAAUUAAAAAAAAAAAAAGAAAAUUGAACAACACAGGUCAUCUAAGAAAUAAAAGAGAAAUUUUAAUAGUUCUUCAGAAAGAAGAAAAUGGAAGCAACAUAACAAAACCUAUGGAAUAUAGCAAAAUCAACAGAAAGAGAAAAAGAGAUUAAUUUCAAUUAACAACCUAAUGACACACAUUUCAAGAAUUUAAAAAAUCAAGACUAUAAAUCAAUUCCAAAAUUAGUAUAAGGAAAGAAAUGAAAAAUGUGAGAGAAGAAAUGAGUGAAACAGACAUAAAAAAAUAUACAAACUAAAACUAAGCUGCACCUGGGGGCAUAUAGUUGUAAUCUCAGCAUUCUGGGAAGCUGACACAGGAGCAUCACCAGUUCCAGUUUGGUCCGGGCAGUUUGAGACUUAGUGAGAUCCUGUCUCAAAACAAAAAAGGACUGUGAAAACAGCUCAGUGGAAAGACUCUGGGUUUAGUCCCCGGUACCACAAAAGUAGAGAAACAAAUAAACAAAACAAAAGAUCAAUGAAAUAGAUUUUUAAAAAAUAAGAUCUACAAAGUUUUAGCAGGACAAGCCAAUAAAAAAAGAGAGAAAGCCAAAAUAAAGUAAAAUCAGAGAUGAAAAGGAAAACAUUACAAUUAAAACCACAGAUCUAAAGAGGAUCAUUAUAGAUUGUGCGAAUCUGUAUGCUAACUAAUUAGGAAACCUAGAACAAAUUAGAAAGCCUAGCAAAUGACCUACAAAAAGUGUUCUGCUAAAUCAUAAAAAACUUGAAUACAUUAAGAAUGACUAACGAGAUUGAACCAGUCGUAAGUCUUCCAACAAAGAAAAGUCUGGGUCUGUAUCACUUCACUGAUGAAUUGGAUCAAAUAUUUAAGAAAUUAACACCAAGUCAUCUCAAAGUAUUCCAAAGAAUUGAAAAGGAAAGAAUGUUUCAAAUUUAUUCUAUGAGACCAGAAAGAAAGACUAGGUAAAGAAUGUGAGAGGAAGUUCAGUCUAAGUUUCCUCAGAGCUGUAGGCAGUUCUUGAGAUGGUGUUGCUUGUUGAAGGAGUUCCUCGUGUCCCUUGGGUGCACAUGGGUAUCCCUGACACACCUGAAUCAUAAUGUGGAGGGGGCGGGGCAUGGAUUUCAGCAUAGCACUAGGGCCCCAGGUCUGUAACUGGAAGCUUUGAAAAAUCUGCUCAAGACAAUGACAGAUGGUCCUUUUUGAAUGUUUGAAGCUUUAAAUGUUUUGCCAUGUGAAUAUUUUACAGAAAAAGUGAUAUAAAUGUAUUUCUGGAAAUAUGGGCCAACUACCAGAUGAUAUGUUAAAAAUAGUUACUUUGGUCUAGUAAGAACAGAUUUGGAAAGGAUGAAAGGUAUGACUGUUCCUUUUUUAUUGUCCCUCUAGGACUACUGUUUUUAAUCUGUGUGUUUUUAUUACUUUGAUCAUUUUGCUAUAAGAAAAGAAGACAAAGAUAAGGCAAUAAAAAUACUGUUGUAGGAGUGGGAAAAUAAGUUUAAUUCUACAAAUUAGUUAAUAACAGUUAUUGAAUACUUUAUCACUAAUUACCAAAAUAUUUCUAGGAGGUAAAAAAUAUUAUUCCCAGUUAAUAGGAUUAAACUUUAAGUGAAGUGUUUUGCUAAAGAUCACACAUAUGGUAACUGCUAGUUUGAACUUGAAUCCAGGGCUAGAUCUGUGCUUUUUUCACAAGUAAAAGGUGAAGAAGCAUCUGACCAUAGAGCUGUGUGAACAGACCGUGUCCUGAUCCUCGGUUCCUAGGUGAGCACAAACAAUGCCAUGGCUCAGUGGAAUCGCCACAUCUCUGAAAGAACUGGUGUUGAUUAUUGUUUAACUACACUUCACAUAUUUAGCCUUUUAAAUCUUCUCUGAGAAAUCAUUUUUUCUAAUUCCUUAUUCAUCCUGGAAUAUCUUCUCAUAAUAAAAAUGUAUGAAGGAACAAGCGUAUGACUGCGACCUGGAACCUAGCUACAGAAGCACUGUAAGCUGCAUGCAGUCAGCAGCCCAUUUCCUCUGGAGGUGAACCUGGCAUGUGCUACCCAACCCUGAGCAGGUGCCCUGCCCAGGACCCUGCCCAGAGGACAAGCUGCUGGCUUCCUUUAUUCAUCUUAAAGAUUGAAAAAGACUUUACUCAUAAAGUGUUACCUUUCCUGACAACAUAACAGCUUUCUGCCUCAGCUCAAUGGAAACAAUCCCUGGAUCUCUGAUGCAAAUUUUAAAAAGAUCUUCUGUUUUGAUGGUGCCUUCUCCUGAGUUGACUUUGAUUGACAGUAGAGAAGAAAGUGAGAGGAGACCAUUGGCUGUGGAAUUACUGUCUUUGGCCCUAGAACGUGUGAGUUUAUGAGCAAGAUAUACAAUUUCACUACUAUAGGUGGGCAGAUGACUGCCAAGUAGCACAGGCUUAUCUUUGGGCAAGCACUGCAAAAGGUCUAUGUCAUGGUUCAGAUUUAAUACGCCCCACACAAUUCUUAUGCAUAUGGAAAGCGAUUGGAUCAUGGGAGCACUGUACUCCUCACUGGCCUUAGGCAUGGAUGUGUUCAGAAGCUGAGGUCCUGUUAGGAGGUGGGACCUGGCUGGAGAUGGCAGGGAAGAUGAGACUUGGCAAAGGGCGUUCUUGUCCUUGGAUCCUCCUUUUGCUCCCUGGCUGUGCCUCUUUGAACAGCUUUCCUCCUCCAUUCCCUUCUACGUGCCAUUUCUGCCAGCUGACCAUGGGCUGAAACGAUGAGCCAAAAUUAACCGUUUAAGUUGUGGAGGCUGGGUAUUGUCUCCCAGAGAUAGGAAAGGGACUACCACAGACUAGAGGGAGUGUUCUAUGUAAACUGACAGAUGCUUGACAGAGACCAACUCUAUGCAGCUCAGAUGUACUGCUUGUAGCUGACUGACCCUGGGCUCUCCUGGACGAGGGUGUGAUAGUAAUUAAGUAAUAAAGCUGUCUCCAUACAGACCAUUUGAACCUGCAGGUUUUCUAUACAUAGUGAAUUCUAACCUAAUCUGAUGUGUAAAGAGACACUAACCUACUUUGGUAAGCAGGUAGCUAAGUCUCAGCCAACCAUAGCAGCUGGCUUCAGUCCACUAAAGAUAGUUAACCAUUUAAAAUGCAAGUAAAGCACCCAUCAAGCUUUAACUAACCCCCCAAUCUCUGUACUUCAUUUCUGCUUUCUGUAUGUUACUUUCUUUGCUCUGGCUAUAAAGAUAAUGUAUAGGUGUGGUGGGAAGCAGCAUCCUGAACCACUGUUGAUCUGGACGGCUUCCUGGUUGUAGGACUACAAACACUAAGUCUAUGCAAAACCAGAAUUGCUAUAAAUUUUUUUUCUCUCUCUUCCUUCCUUUCUUUCAUAUUGAACACUUCACGAAUUUGUGUGUCAUCCUUGUACAGGGGCCAUGCUAAACUUCUCUGUAUCGUUCCAGUUUUAGUAUAUGUGCUGCUAAAACAAGCACAAAUUUUCUCUUUCAAUAAUAGCAUACAAUGAUAAUAGAAUAGAGUGAAAUGAUCAUCGGUAAUAAAAUCAUAAGAUUCUGUGAAGAAUAGUACAUAAUGCAAAUUGAAUUCUUAGCAAGUGCCUGAUAAAUACUCAACACAUGUGAGCAAUUCAUACUACAAGAAACCUUAUACAAUACAUAUUUUAUUCUCUGAGAAUGAACUUUUGUUGAUAGGAAAAUAUACCUGUUUAUUUAUACUAUAAAUAAGAAACAUAAAAGACAAAAAAAAGAGAGAUAAAGGAAAAGAUUAAUUGAUCUAACUGCAUACACAUUCACAUUUUUCUAUUUCAAAAGUCCUAUAAACAUAAAUUCAUUCUCAGAGAAUAAAAUAUCUUGGUACACAUAUUUUGAAACAACUGCUUUUCUUAACAUUGUGUUCCUCAAUCAUUUCUAGGUAAUUGUUUUCCGAAUUAAUAAUUUUUAUUUAAUGUUUUAUAUUUAAA